GGUGGGGUUCCCGAGCGGUCAAAGGGAGCAGACUGUAAAUCUGCCGUUUAUACUUCGAAGGUUCGAAUCCUUCCCCCACCACAA
This 84-nucleotide transfer RNA is filed under the name Candidatus Profftia tarda. Its description in RNAcentral is "tRNA-Tyr". It matches the Rfam family "tRNA". From Rfam's summary of the family: Transfer RNA (tRNA) molecules are approximately 80 nucleotides in length. Lineage: Bacteria; Pseudomonadati; Pseudomonadota; Gammaproteobacteria; Enterobacterales; Enterobacteriaceae. The record is from RNAcentral.